Molecule: ribosomal RNA, 726 nt
Filed under: Acanthinucella spirata
Lineage: Eukaryota; Metazoa; Mollusca; Gastropoda; Neogastropoda; Muricidae
Description: partial 16S ribosomal RNA
Rfam family: Bacterial large subunit ribosomal RNA (bases 1-552)
Source: RNAcentral
UGCCCAGUGAAAUUUUUUUAACGGCCGCGGUACUCUGACCGUGCAAAGGUAGCAUAAUCAUUUGCCUUAUAAUUGAAGGCUUGUAUGAAUGGUUUGACAAGAAUGAAGCUGUCUCUUUAUAAUUAAUCUGAAUUUUAUAUAUAGGUGAAGAAGCCUAUAUUUUAUUGAAAGACAAGAAGACCCUAUCGAGCUUUAAAAAAGUUAAUAAGCCUAAAAAUCAAUAUUAAAAUAUAGAUUUUGUUAUUAAAUCAUUUUAGUUGGGGCGACUGAGGAACAAGCAAAGCUUCCUAUAUAAAUAAUAAAACAUUCAAGUAUUGACCCAGAAAUACUGAUUAAAGAAAUUAGUUACCGUAGGGAUAACAGCAUUAUCUUUUUUGAGAGCUCUAAUCGAAAAAAAGGUUUGUGACCUCGAUGUUGGACCAGAAUAUCCUAAAGAUGCAGCCGUCUUUAAGGGUUGGUCUGUUCGACCAUUAAAAUUCUACGUGAUCUGAGUUCAGACCGGCGUGAGCCAGGUCAGUUUCUAUCUUCAAUUUUUACAAUGAACUUAGUACGAAAGGACCAGCUUAUUAUAAAAUAUUUAUUUAAUCUGAUAAAAUAUAAAGUGUAAUUGAAUUAGUAACAAAAUAUAAACUAAAAAUCAAAUUAGCAAAGAUUUAAUGCAAUUGACUUAGGAUCAAUAGACAUAGGUGAAAUUCCUUUAUUUGAUAUAUAAAGGUGGCAGAUGAA